GGGGAAUAUUGCACAAUGGGCGAACGCCUGAUGCAGCGACGCCGCGUGAGGGAUGACGGCCUUCGGGUUGUAAACCGCUUUCAGCAGGGAGGAGGCGCAAGUGACGGUCCCUGCAGAAGAAGCGCCGGCUAACUGCGGGCCAGCAGCCGCGGUAAUACGUAGGGCGCAAGCGUUGUCCGGAAUUAUUGGGCGUAAAGAGCUCGUAGGCGGUUAGUCGCGUCUGCUGUGAAAACUCGAGGCUCAACCUCGGGCUUGCAGUGGGUACGGGCUGACUAGAGUGCGGUAGGGGUGACUGGAAUUCCUGGUGUAGCGGUGGAAUGCGCAGAUAUCAGGAGGAACACCGAUGGCGAAGGCAGGUCACUGGGCCGCAACUGACGCUGAGGAGCGAAAGCAUGGGGAGCGAACA
RNAcentral lists this ribosomal RNA (406 nucleotides) under uncultured Cellulomonas sp. RNAcentral describes it as "bacterial SSU rRNA". It matches the Rfam family "Bacterial small subunit ribosomal RNA", at positions 356 to 774 of the family's 1533-position model. Lineage: Bacteria; Bacillati; Actinomycetota; Actinomycetes; Micrococcales; Cellulomonadaceae. The record is from RNAcentral.